Molecule: ribosomal RNA, 663 nt
Filed under: uncultured Pseudomonadota bacterium
Lineage: Bacteria; Pseudomonadati; Pseudomonadota
Description: bacterial SSU rRNA
Rfam family: Bacterial small subunit ribosomal RNA
Source: RNAcentral
CUAACACAUGCAAGUCGAACGGUAACAGGAAGCAGCUUGCUGCUUCGCUGACGAGUGGCGGACGGGUGAGUAAUGUCUGGGAAGCUGCCUGAUGGAGGGGGAUAACUACUGGAAACGGUAGCUAAUACCGCAUAAUGUCGCAAGACCAAAGAGGGGGACCUUCGGGCCUCUUGCCAUCGGAUGUGCCCAGAUGGGAUUAGCUUGUUGGUGGGGUAACGGCUCACCAAGGCGACGAUCCCUAGCUGGUCUGAGAGGAUGACCAGCCACACUGGAACUGAGACACGGUCCAGACUCCUACGGGAGGCAGCAGUGGGGAAUAUUGCACAAUGGGCGCAAGCCUGAUGCAGCCAUGCCGCGUGUAUGAAGAAGGCCUUCGGGUUGUAAAGUACUUUCAGCGGGGAGGAAGGGAGUAAAGUUAAUACCUUUGCUCAUUGACGUUACCCGCAGAAGAAGCACCGGCUAACUCCGUGCCAGCAGCCGCGGUAAUACGGAGGGUGCAAGCGUUAAUCGGAAUUACUGGGCGUAAAGCGCACGCAGGCGGUUUGUUAAGUCAGAUGUGAAAUCCCCGGGCUCAACCUGGGAACUGCAUCUGAUACUGGCAAGCUUGAGUCUCGUAGAGGGGGGUAGAAUUCCAGGUGUAGCGGUGAAAUGCGUAGAGAUCUG